Molecule: non-coding RNA, 102 nt
Filed under: Aurantiochytrium limacinum
Lineage: Eukaryota; Bigyra; Thraustochytrida; Thraustochytriidae
Source: RNAcentral
AUUGACCGAAAGAUCGAAAGGAAGACACAUUUAAAAACAGACAGACAAUUUGUUUGCUGAUUCUGUUGAGUUUUUUGUUUGUUUUUCUUUUUUGUUUUUUUU